RNAcentral lists this ribosomal RNA (248 nucleotides) under Salmonella enterica subsp. enterica. Its description in RNAcentral is "partial 23S ribosomal RNA". It matches the Rfam family "Bacterial large subunit ribosomal RNA", at positions 1 to 249 of the family's 2925-position model. The record is from RNAcentral. Lineage: Bacteria; Pseudomonadati; Pseudomonadota; Gammaproteobacteria; Enterobacterales; Enterobacteriaceae.
GGUUAAGCGACUAAGCGUACACGGUGGAUGCCCUGGCAGUCAGAGGCGAUGAAGGACGUGCUAAUCUGCGAUAAGCGCCGGUAAGGUGAUAUGAACCGUUAUAACCGGCGAUUUCCGAAUGGGGAAACCCAGUGUGACUCGUCACACUAUCAUUAACUGAAUCCAUAGGUUAAUGAGGCGAACCGGGGGAACUGAAACAUCUAAGUACCCCGAGGAAAAGAAAUCAACCGAGAUUCCCCCAGUAGCGG